GAGAGGCAAGCAGUUUGGUAUGCGUCUAGCUUGAAACUAGUUGGAGGUGGUUCGAUUCCAUCGUCUCUUG
This 70-nucleotide transfer RNA is filed under the name Tropiocolotes steudneri. RNAcentral's name for it is "tRNA-Ser". It matches the Rfam family "tRNA". From Rfam's summary of the family: Transfer RNA (tRNA) molecules are approximately 80 nucleotides in length. Their secondary structure includes four short double-helical elements and three loops (D, anti-codon, and T loops). The record is from RNAcentral. Lineage: Eukaryota; Metazoa; Chordata; Lepidosauria; Squamata; Gekkonidae.